AAGAGGACAGGGGGGAGUGUUAGAUAGGAUGGUAGGGAAGGCCACUUCGAGGACACAUCAUUUGAGGAGUUAACUGAAUAGUAAGAAGUCUCCAAGCUGCAAAGGACUGAAGGAAGAACAUUUUGGACAAGGCUCUGAAGGAAAAACACCAGCUGAGGAAGAAUGAAGAACUGCCUGUUCUAAGUUAUUCUCCUUCUGUGGUCAUUUGAUCCCCAGGAAGACCAUGUUUACCCCAUCAAGUGCCUGGAGAAAGGAGGCAAUUACCCAGAGAAGUCAAGCAAAAAGGAAAGGGGGAAAAAUGAAAAUCACGCACCAGGAUAGAGGUCCCAGGCUCCAAGCUGGAGUGGAAACUGCCUUCAACACACCCUAAAUCUCACAAAAGUUUAAGACCCAGACUUGGGGUUAAACAGACCUGGAUUUGAAAAUGAGUUCAACUUAUUAUACAUACUACCUAGGCAAGAUUUAACCUCUCUGUAUCUGUUUAUUCAUUUGUUAAAUGGGGAAUAAGAGUACAUACUUUGGGUCAAUCAGAUUUGGAUUUCAAUCCCAGCUCUGCUAAAGACUUUGUCAAGGAAGACAUUGUUCAAUAUGUGGCACACAUUAGGCACUUAUGCAUUUAUUCAAAAAAUGAAAGGGAAAGAAGAAAGGAAGGAUGGAGAGAAGGAAGGAAGGAAAGAAGGAAGGAAUCAAGCAAGGAAUUCGACAAGUGAAUGCUCUUUCUCCUUUGCUGCUGACCAUCUGAGAUGCACUCUCUCUGGGUGGACAUUUUUCUCGGAUGCACCACGAUUCCCACUGCGAGUGGGUGGGUGAAGCCUAAUUUUCCUCUCUGUGAAUGUGGGUCAGACCUGGUGACUCAGUUCUAAAGAAUAGAAUGCGGUGAGACUGAUGCUAUGUGACUUUGAGGGCUACGUCAUAAAAAGGAUGGCUUCUAUCUGACAUUCUCUAUUGGAUCCUUUGCUCUGGGAGAAGUCAGCCAUCAUGCUGUGAGGACACUCAAGUAGCGUGUGGAGAGGAACUGGGGCUUCCCACCUACAACCAAUACCAACUUGCAAGCCAUGUGAGUGAGCCACUUCGGAAGCAGAUCCUCUGGCCCCAUACAAGCCUUAAGAUGACUACAGCACAGAUGAUACUUUGACUGCAACUUCAUGAGAAAUCCUGAGCUAAAAACACCCUGCUAA
Choloepus didactylus (southern two-toed sloth) is the source of this 1178-nucleotide long non-coding RNA. RefSeq lists it as uncharacterized. The record is from RefSeq and is a predicted model, not a curated record. The transcript is spliced from 4 exons. NCBI's taxonomy places the organism in Eukaryota, Metazoa, Chordata, Mammalia, Pilosa, Megalonychidae.